Punica granatum (pomegranate) is the source of this 2270-nucleotide non-coding RNA. The record is from RefSeq and is a predicted model, not a curated record. NCBI's taxonomy places the organism in Eukaryota, Viridiplantae, Streptophyta, Magnoliopsida, Myrtales, Lythraceae.
GCGACGGAUAGCUCAACAGCCGAGCCUGCUGUCCACAGAGCUCGCUCCGACCAGAACCUCCGGCGAGCACACGAUGGCGGAUGAUUCUCACAGUCGCGUUAUGUCGGAGGUAAAUGCAGAUCCCGAUGCCAAGCCGUCAGGCGCCGGUGACGACCACGACAGCCCCAACCCAAAGCGGCAAAGGAGAACGGUGAAAGCGCAGUGCAAGCACUGCGAGGAGAUAGUCUCGGCUUCUAUCGCGAGCGGUACGUCCUCCGAGGCUCUGCUGUCUCAUUUACAGAAAUGUCCCCAAAAGACGACGAGAAGGCACGCAGCGUCGAGUCCAAGCAGUCUGAUGCUGGGACGGUGUUCCAGACCAGUGGAGAUGUGAUCAAUCAGUAUGAUUUCCGUAAAGCCCUCGCCGUCUGGCUGGUCUGCCAGGGGCUCCCUUACGAGACUGUCGAGCAGCAAGGUUUCCGGCAUUUGAUGGGAACAGUCUGCCCUAAUUUCAAUAACUUGAAGAGGGAGAGGGCCGAGAGGGAGGUCCUGAGUCGGUACUUCGAGGAGCGGGAUUUCGUCAAGUCGGAGCUCAGGAGAGCCCCGGGACGAAUUUCGUUAUCUGUCGGGAUUUGGAAGUCGGGGUUCUCGAGCGAUGAGUUUAUUUGCAUCACUGCUCGUGGGAUCGAUGAUAGUUGGAAGUUGCAGAGGAUAUCGAGUUCAAGGCUUUAAAGCCACCGGUCGACGGAGUUCUGAUAGCGGGUGAGGUGGCUUUGUGUUUGUCCCGAUGGCAAAUCAAGAAGAAAGUGAUGAGUAUAACUCUCGAUGAUGGUUUAUGUAGUGGCUGUGACUCCAUGGCUGAUUCUCUGAGAACCCGUCUGCAAAUUGACGGCAAGACGCUUUCUAGGGAUGGUAUAUUCAUCCAGGUCGGUUGCUAUAAUUAUGUCUUGAAUUCUAUGGCUCAGUUGGGUUUGCAGCUUAUAGAGUCCGCUAUCGGGAAGCUUCGAGGUGGGCUUAUGUACAUCAAGAGAUAUCCUUGCAGAGAAGAUGAAUUUUAUGAACUCGCCAAGAAGAGUCAUCAGUUGGAUAAAAGCAAAAGGCUUGCACUGAUCUCGGGCGAGGUGGAUGGAACUCUAUGUAUCCUAUGCUCAAUCAUGCACUAUUUUAUAACUGUGUCCUGUUGGAUUGGGGCCAGAGGGAUGACAAGUUUCGGGAUUUUGUCGUUUUGGAGGGAGAAUGGGAAAAGAUUGCCAUCCUGAUGAAAUUCUUGGAACUUCUCCAUACAGCCGUACCCGACUUAUCGAAGACGAAGCAUCCCUUCUUUACCACUUACCUGAAGAAAAUCAUAUGAAUUUACCUUAGCUUGUCAGAUGAGAAAUGGUCCUCGCACAACUUCUUCUGCAAUACUGUCAGCGAAGCUCGAGAGAAGAUUCGCAAGUGUUGGUUAGACCGUAGCUUGGUCUUAUCGUUCGGUAGCAUAUUAGAUCCUCGUUUCAAGAGUUCUUUCGUGAAAUUCAGCUACUCUAAGUUAUUUGGCGACAAAGAUUUGGCCUCCGAGUAUGCAAACAAGGAUGUUGCUGCUCUUCAUGGUUUGUUAAUGGAGUAUGAGCGGGACUAAGGGCCCGACUCUCCCCGGACGAUGACGAUUUAAGUAAAAAUGCAUUAAUGUUUGAAUUCGAUGCCUAUGACCUGCAAGAGGAGUAUAAGACUUGAGUUUGAAUCUCACUUGGAUGAUAGGAGGAUCAAUUUCAACUUGGAGAUGGAUAUCUUAACGUAUUGGAGUGGAAACGGCGGGUUUUACAGACAUGGAAAGGUCGCCAAGGGGGCUGGGGACAUUCUAUCCAUUCCCCUUUUGACCUUAGCUCCUGAAUCUUCGUUCUGUGUCAGCAAGAAGUUGAUGAAUCCUCAAGGUAAGUCGCUGACACCAAAGACCCUCAAAGCUUUCAUUUGUCUGGGAGAUUGGCUAUGAGCACGGAACCCUUCUCUCUCGGCACCUCGCCAUGUUGGCGUUUGGAAGUGAUUUGUCGAAGGGUGACGAAUAUAUCUCCAAUGAGGAUGAUCACGACGAUCGUGUUUGGUGGUGAUAAAUAAUAAAGUGCCACAGAAGAUCAGCUCGAGAUUACCAGGCUGUACGUUCUUUCACAUGAUUUUGUCUUCUCAGCUAAAACAUUCUAGCAAUAUCCUUAAUUCACGACCUUCCGACACUACAGUGAUUUGGUAGAUUGUUUUGGCUGUAGGGUAAAAACAUUCUGCCUUUAAUUAUGCUUUCUUUAGUCGAUUAUGCUUUCUGAUGA